This 253-nucleotide ribosomal RNA is filed under the name uncultured bacterium. RNAcentral's name for it is "partial 16S ribosomal RNA". It matches the Rfam family "Bacterial small subunit ribosomal RNA", at positions 524 to 776 of the family's 1533-position model. The record is from RNAcentral.
UACAGAGGGUGCGAGCGUUAAUCGGAAUUACUGGGCGUAAAGCGUGCGUAGGCGGCUAUCUAAGUCGGGUGUGAAAGCCCCGGGCUCAACCUGGGAAUUGCAUUCGAGACUGAAUAGCUAGGGUGCGGUAGAGGGAAGCGGAAUUUCCGGUGUAGCGGUGAAAUGCGUAGAUAUCGGGAGGAACACCAAUGGCGAAGGCAGCUCGCUGGGACGUUACUGACGCUGAGACGCGAAAGCGUGGGGAGCAAACAGG